Molecule: long non-coding RNA, 1774 nt
Organism: Myodes glareolus (Bank vole)
Lineage: Eukaryota; Metazoa; Chordata; Mammalia; Rodentia; Cricetidae
Source: RefSeq, a predicted model, not a curated record
GCCGGAGAGAUGGUUCAGUGAUGAAGGGCACCUGCUGCUCUUCUGGAGGACCAGGGUUUGUUCCCAGCGCUCGCACUGGGCGGCUCGGCUCACAGGCCUGCGACUCUGGCUCCAGGGUAUCUGACGCCCCCUCCUGGCCUCUGCGGGUACCUGCAGACAUGUGUCAUCAACAUCUACACAUAGCUAAACUUUAAGAAAGAAAAACAAGCAAAGUGAGUGCUAGAGAACGUCCACAGUGGUUUUAAAGAAGCUGAAGAAAGAUUGGUGAACAUGAAGGUGACUGCUAGGUUCUUUUACAGUGUAUAAGGACAGCAUGAAGAAAAGGACUCCGAAUCAAAGCGCCCCAGCAUCUGCACCGUGGAAAGGCCAAAGAGAGGAGAGAGGAGUGAAGAAAAGUAUUUGCUGCAGUUACAACGGAAAACUUCCUAGUGUUCUGACAGUUCACUCCAAACUGCAGAGACGUGAUGACCCAUGCAGCGGACAUGGCAGGGUCAAACACCAAAGUCAAAAGCAACAAUGGCGUCUUGAAGGCAGCAGGGAAAAGUGGGCUUGCUUUCGUGGGAGAAAACUCCACACUGCGACUCGGCGGGCAGGGUGAUGGGGACACAGAGCGACUAUGGGUGGCCCUGAGACGACACCUUAAGUGGUGAGAGACAAGCUAAAGCCUUUACCACACGUGCAAACCCUGGGAUGAUCUAUGGGUAGCAGGAGAAAUACUGAGGGAAGUACUCAAGGCCAACCAGACGCAGGAGACUUCAGACAGUGAGCAAAUGCACGGAAAAGAAGUCAAAGGACCAACAGAGUAACAACGGCAUUUUAGUGGAAGUAGAAUUAUACUCAGUGUAAUUAAGAGUGAAAUACAGUAAGUGCAUAUGCACACUCCUCAUGUAUCUUGAGCAACUGUGUAUAACGAGGGAUGACACAUCUUUGGAUUCUCCAAGGCAACCUUGUAAGUGCUGGAAGGCGGUGAAGACUUCCUUUGUCAGACCAAAACAACGGAAGUAACCUCGGUGUCCAGUCCUGGGGGAGGGAGCUGAAAAAGGCCCGGCACAUCCAUUCACUAAACAAUGCCAGAGCUGCGGCAAACAGGCGGCCGAGUAUUGAAACAAGUUGGCCUCAGAUGCACUGGGGAGCAGAAAAAGAAAGGACCUGGUGCCAAAGAGUCUACAGAGAUUUCUUGAAGCGAAGAGGAAAAUGGAGUCUGUGGUCUCAGAAGUCAGCGGAAGAUCUGGGGAGAGUUUCAAGGAAUUGACACACAGCUCAGGGUGAGGGAUUUCUUUCAAAGAGUCGGAGUUCAGGAGGUUGUUCUUGGAAGGAGUGAACUCCUAGACAAGGAAGGCAUGCACCUUGUGGAGUGGCCCUGGCUCUAUGAAGGGUUGACUUAGUGACCUAAUAGACCCCUUCAGUCAGAGUCUAGAAAUUUCUGAUUAAAACUCUGCAUAUACCCAGUCAGACCUUCUAGAAUUUCAUGGGUCACAGGACCUGAAUUCUUGGAAUUGGAAAUGAAUUCAGGCUAGGGACAGGACUCAUCCUUCAACAAGAGGAUCAGAGACAUUAAGAUGGAGGACGGCUUUAGUCCUUCUGAAGGUGCUGAACAGAGCAGCGCUGGACCUGUCCAGCCCCAGCCCUUGGCAAGGCCAAGUCUUCCAGUUGGCUCAAAGGCCGGCUCACAAACACCCAGGUUUCUUUUGUUAUAUAUGAAGUCUGGUUGCAAGGAGACCACAGCCCAUUGUUCUUAAAACAAGUGGGCUAAUUGACAGGGGCAUCCUCCUCU